GAACGAUAAUGGCAAACUUGCUGAAAAGCAAGGACGCAAAGCCAUAGGGCCUAAUCGCCGCCGUAGACGGGGCAUUUGGCAGCCUGGUUACCGAA
Molecule: non-coding RNA, 95 nt
Filed under: Paenibacillus curdlanolyticus
Lineage: Bacteria; Bacillati; Bacillota; Bacilli; Caryophanales; Paenibacillaceae
Description: c-di-GMP sequence
Rfam family: c-di-GMP-I riboswitch aptamer
About the family: GEMM was predicted in a large-scale screen for bacterial structured RNA regulatory elements.
Source: RNAcentral